This 426-nucleotide ribosomal RNA is filed under the name uncultured prokaryote. Its description in RNAcentral is "bacterial SSU rRNA". It matches the Rfam family "Bacterial small subunit ribosomal RNA", at positions 355 to 796 of the family's 1533-position model. The record is from RNAcentral.
UGGGGAAUUUUCCGCAAUGGGGGCAACCCUGACGGAGCAACGCCGCGUGGGGGAGGAAGGUCUGUGGAUUGUAAACCCCUUUUCUCUGGGAAGAAGCUCUGACGGUACCAGAGGAAUCAGCAUCGGCUAACUCCGUGCCAGCAGCCGCGGUAAGACGGAGGAUGCAAGCGUUAUCCGGAAUUAUUGGGCGUAAAGCGUCCGUAGGCGGUUUAUCAAGUCUGCCGUUAAAGACUACAGCUUAACUGUGGAGCGGCGGUGGAAACUGAGGAACUUGAGUAUGGUAGGGGUAGAGGGAAUUCCCAGUGUAGCGGUGAAAUGCGUAGAUAUUGGGAAGAACACCAGUGGCGAAGGCGCUCUGCUGGGCCAUAACUGACGCUGAGGGACGAAAGCUAGGGGAGCGAAAGGGAUUAGAUACCCGCGUAGUCC